RNAcentral lists this ribosomal RNA (468 nucleotides) under uncultured bacterium. RNAcentral describes it as "partial 16S ribosomal RNA". It matches the Rfam family "Bacterial small subunit ribosomal RNA", at positions 28 to 507 of the family's 1533-position model. The record is from RNAcentral.
GACGAACGCUGGCGGCGUGCUUAACACAUGCAAGUCGAACGGAAAGUACCUGCUUUUGUGGGGUGCUCGAGUGGCGAACUGGGGAGUACCACGGGAGUAACCUCCCCUUAGCUUUGUGAUAACUUCAGGGAACUAGGGCUGAUACCGGAUAGGAGCUCCUGCUGCAUGUUGUGGGUUGGAAAGUUUCGGCGGUUGGGGAUGUACUCGCGGCUUAUCAGCUUGUUUGUGAGGUAGUGGCUUACCAAGGCUUUGACGGGUAGACGGCCUGAUAGGGUGACAGGCCACAUUGGGACGGAGCUACGGCCCAGACUCAUACGGGAGGCAGCAGUGGGGAAUAUUGCACAAUGGGCGGAAGCAUGAUGCAGCAACGCCGCGUGCGGGAUGACGGCCUUCUGGUUGUAAACCGCUGUCGCGUGUGACGAAGCGUGAGUGACGGUAAUGGGUAAAGAAGCUCCGGCUAACUACGUG